RNAcentral lists this ribosomal RNA (220 nucleotides) under uncultured archaeon. RNAcentral's name for it is "partial 16S ribosomal RNA". The stretch from base 1 to 157 matches the Rfam family "Archaeal small subunit ribosomal RNA", at positions 328 to 485 of the family's 1478-position model. The record is from RNAcentral.
AUUUGCAGCAGGCGCGAAAACUUUACAAUGCGGGAAACCGUGAUAAGGGAACACCGAGUGCCAGCAUCAUAUGCUGGCUGUCCAGAUGUGUAAACUACAUCUGUUAGCAAGGGCCGGGCAAGGCCGGUGCCAGCCGCCGCGGUAAUUCAAUCGGCGCUUAUUGGAACGAAAACCUACCGCUUUAGAGGAAUUUUGUGUCUCGUCUGGAUAUAUUCUCCCA